UCGAAGGCACGGGUGGAACGGACUCUUAAUCCGUAGGUUCAGGGUUCGAUUCCCUGGCGACCCA
Molecule: transfer RNA, 64 nt
Filed under: Actinomycetota bacterium
Lineage: Bacteria; Bacillati; Actinomycetota
Description: Actinobacteria bacterium tRNA-Lys
Source: RNAcentral